RNAcentral lists this ribosomal RNA (376 nucleotides) under uncultured bacterium. RNAcentral's name for it is "bacterial SSU rRNA". It matches the Rfam family "Bacterial small subunit ribosomal RNA", at positions 524 to 898 of the family's 1533-position model. The record is from RNAcentral.
CACGGGGGUGGCAAGCGUUGUCCGGAAUUACUAGGCGUAAAGGGCAGGUAGGCGGAUCCGUAAGUCGGACGUUUAAUCCUCAGUCUUAAGCUGAGACAUGCGUUUGAUACUGUGGAUCUAGAAUGCGGCGGGGGAAGACGGAAUUCCGGGUGUAGCGGUGGAAUGCGCAGAUAUCCGGAGGAACACCGAAGGCGAAGGCAGUCUUCCAUACCGUAAUUGACGCUGAACUGCGAAGGUGUGGGGAUCAAACAGGAUUAGAUACCCUGGUAGUCCGCACAGUAAACGUUAGACACUGGGUGUUGGGGGAGAAGAAUCCUUCAGUGCCGCAGCUAACGCGCUAAGUGUCUCGCCUGGGGAGUACGAUCGCAAGGUUGAA